UGGGGAAUAUUGGACAAUGGAGGGAACUCUGAUCCAGCAAUCCUGUGUGUGUGAAGAAGGCUUUAGGACUGUAAAACACUUUUAGUAGGGAAGAAAAAAAUGACGGUACCUACAGAAGAAGCAACGGCUAAAUACGUGCCAGCAGCCGCGGUAAUACGUAUGUUGCGAGCGUUAUCCGGAAUUAUUGGGCUUAAAGGGCAUCUAGGCGGUAAGACAAGUUGAAGGUGAAAACCUGUGGCUCAACCAUAGGCUUGCCUACAAAACUGUUGAACUAGAGUACUGGAAAGGUGGGUGGAACUACACGAGUAGAGGUGAAAUUCGUAGAUAUGUGUAGGAAUGCCGAUGAUGAAGAUAACUCACUGGACAGAAACUGACGCUGAAGUGCGAAAGCUAGGGGAGCAAACAAG
RNAcentral lists this ribosomal RNA (407 nucleotides) under Verrucomicrobiota bacterium. RNAcentral's name for it is "Verrucomicrobia bacterium partial 16S ribosomal RNA". It matches the Rfam family "Bacterial small subunit ribosomal RNA", at positions 355 to 776 of the family's 1533-position model. The record is from RNAcentral. Lineage: Bacteria; Pseudomonadati; Verrucomicrobiota.